Cottoperca gobio is the source of this 2090-nucleotide long non-coding RNA. RefSeq lists it as uncharacterized. The transcript has 3 exons. Lineage: Eukaryota; Metazoa; Chordata; Actinopteri; Perciformes; Bovichtidae. The record is from RefSeq and is a predicted model, not a curated record.
CACAACACAUGGCACAAUAAAACUCCUGCUGGGCCCGCCAGCUGUCCACACGUGUUCGGAGUUUCUGUGGUGGUAACUGUUGGCAGUAUGCUUUUUAUAGCAGGAGUGUGAGUCGAGCAGAAAUCUCCUGGUUGCGGCUGCAGCAGUCUCUGUACAGUAGCUGAGAUGUCCCUGUCCCCAUGCACAAUCAUCAGUGUCUUCUUCUCCAACUCUAUCGCCAGACAAGAAUGUCUAUGUUAGACGAUUCUCCAAAAAUCUGCAUUUUGUCCAAUGUUUUUAAGUCUUGUUUUUUUACAAUAUCUGCACAUGGCAACUAUGGUGUAGUUUAGGUAAGGGAAAUGUAAUAAUAAGAUUGUAAUUAAAUCACUUCUCAUUGUUGAUAGUCUCAAAAGAUAGAAGGUGUUAACCCUCAUCUCAAUUCACUCCAGUGCAGGGACUCAGCAAUGCUUGUGUAAUAGUUAUAAGUGCUCUUCAGGUUUUCCUAUGUUAUAUUUUUUCUCUUAGUCGUCUUAUUAUUCUCUUGCCAUGCUACAUUACUAUGCUUUUGUGUUGCUCCCAUGGAGCACAUAUUCUAUUUUCCUUUUCUGUUGAUUAACACGUAGAACGAAGCACCUGGCUGGAAUGUGAACCAUUCGGUCGCCUUCCUUUGUUCAUCCUGGGUGUUUGCCCUUUGCACCAUUAGUUUAUUGCAAUAUCAUUCACAUUAUAAUUAAAGACCUUCACAAUUCUUAUGAGGAAGACAAGAGAAGGCGGAUGUCAUUCCUUCUUGUUCGGAAGCCAAAGGGUUGAUCUGCCAAAAUAUUCACUGCGUGUCGGGGACCCAAAAUGGUGCUGGUCCUCAAUGUGAUGUCUUUUCGAAAGUUUGGAAAGUUUCCAAAGUUAUCAAAAAAUAUCAGGCUGAAUGUAAGAUUCCUCCUAAACAUCAUAUAGAAUAUAAAUGACAGUGUAGAGUUAUAUGAUUUUGAUCUGAUUGAUUGCAAAUGUAUUUGCUAACUUGCAUUAAAAAUGCAUGAUACAAACUGAAAAGACAAGGGCCUUAACAAAGCAUCUGCAUUUUUACCUAUAUGUGCAGCCCGGUCUCAUUUCCAGGUCAUCAAAUACUAACAUGUUAUGUUAUGUUAGGCUUUCAACUAACUCCAAUAUAAACCCAAUGUUAGACCUCAGAGUAAGUUCUCCGGAGAUCAGGUGAGUCAAGUCACAGGUUAGGUCAAGUCGAGUCAAGUCCUAAGUUAAGGCCAGUCAAGUCCAAAGUCAAGUCACUUCCGCCAAUUAAUUGUAUUUGUAUUAUAAUUAUUGCUAUUCAGUGAAAUAAAUGAAAUUAAAAAAAGGAAAACAUUUUAAAAGCUAAUUUAUUGAUACAUUUCUUGUCAAUCCAAAAAACAUAUUUCCUCCCCAUUCAUUUUAAACAGUGAAAUACUGACAGCUAGACUACAACAUUAUCAAAUAAAAGACCAUAGACAUAGUCCAUAGUCUACCACGUAGCAUCGCAAGACGUUUAGUCAUCCAGUAAUACAAAAAUGUCGGUCCAAGUGUGCCCUUGCAUUUUUUAUAUUUAACUAUAAUUUAAACUGAAAACAUUAAAUGCACACAGACAAGUCAUUCAAGUCAUCAUGUCAAGUCACAAGUCUUUAACUUCCAAGUCCAAGUGGAGUCUCAAGUUAUUUAUUUUCUGUCACGUCAAGUUGCAAGUCAGACUUGAGUCAUUCCAAGUCACAAUGACUGGAGUCCAUAUCUCUGCUAUGCUGAGUUUAACAUCAGGUAAUAUUGGGAUGGAAACAUCAUCAAGACUUUUUUAACCACUCUGGGACCAAAAAUGUAGAGUACAGUGGAUUUAACAAGAGUAAUGAGAGAAGUGCAGGCAGGAAAACCAAAACAAGAGACUGAGAGACGAUAAAAUGCACCAUAGUUAAGUAAUCAAUCUCUGUUUGUAAAUACGAGCGAUCACUUUCACGUUUUAUCGAAGUAGCCAUUCGAUGAAUUGUUCAUAUAGAAACACUGAUUGUUGCAGCUUUAACAAAAUGGUAACAAUAGUUUUAAAGCUGAUCCAAGACUAAAGAUUUGUGAUAGCUUUGGCUUUAUUCAGGUUUGCA